GUGAAAGGCAGCGGGCACAGCCUGCCCCAUUCACAGCAGUGGGCAGAGUGCUGAAGUGCUUACCAGGUCAUAGGCUGCCAGGACCUUCUUCUGCACAUCGGGCACAGUCCCCAGAGGCUCCAGUUCCUUUAGCUGGAUGUAUAAGCAACGAAUGCUCCUGAACACAUAUGCUUUUCCCCUUUAUUCACCUUGGAGCAACAUCUCUAUUCAGCUGCAGGCCUUGCUAACUCUUGGAAAGAAGUGAGGGUGGUUUCAUCUGGGAUCAUUCGUAACUAAGAGAAAAAUAAUCAACUCUUUGUGUGUAGUAAAGUGGCAAACAUGUUUUCUAACUAUGUACUUUGGGAAAUAAUACAUUUCUAACUCCUUUUCCAAAGACAAUUAAAAAUUACACAUUACCUGUCAUUGAGUUCCUCAGCUACUAGGUAAAUUGAGGCACAUCAGAUACUCUAAUUGCUAAAUUACUCUGUUGAUCAAAGCACACUCUUGUAGCUCAGCAAACUGAAAUCGCAUUACUGCCCUCAUGAAAAAUGAAUGCUCCACCCUGCAACCAUUUGCUGGUAUUUUAAAAUUCACUCACUGAUUUCAGAGCUCCAAGUGGAAUGUGGUAAUUCAACAAGCACUGCACUGUGCACCACCACACCAAGGCAGAGAUUUUGGUUGUGAAGCUGGCAUAACCCAACCUCAAUCUGUGGUUCCUUCCUAAACUCUCACAGAAAACUGUUCUCUCCUAUCAACAAGAAUGUGCCCCAGAAUAAACUCACACUGGGAAAGUGUAGGAAACUAUGAAAACUACAUGAUCCAGAAAUCACCCAAAAUACUAAAUGACAAAGGACAAAUUUUGAUGGGGUUUGAAUACAUCCUUUGAUUUCAGGGUCAACAUGGUUAUCAGAAGCAGAAGUGAUGUGACUAAACCUGUGAAGAACUGAAGGGUAGAACAAUUUUAGAGUAUUAACUGAGCUGGGCUGUUACCUUCCACAGUUCAGAGUUUACUUUUGGUGAUACAUUUAUUCUGGAUACCUUUAUGCUAAGCUUGGAGCUUCCUCUUUCUCUGCUGCCUGAAAACACAGGGCUUGAAAUCAAAUUCUGAAAUCCAAUUAGCAAAUACACAAGACUGUGUAUGAAGCAGGUUUUCCUUGCAUCCUGUUCCUGAAAAACUCAAGUACAGAUGUCCCAUAUAUUGUACACAGAGUCAGAGGUACUUACGUGUGAACCACUGAAGCUACAGAUCUGACUCCAGAGUAACAGCCACGUAAGCACAAGUUCCAUUACUUUGUUUUGCAUUAAGCACAGAUCUGCUGUGAUGAUACAUCCCUGGCUCUUGCUGAGUCAAUGAAGCGUUUAAACACAGAUCUACUGCAUUCAGUGAAACUUUAGAGACAUUUUAGUGCUUUGCUGAUCUCUGAAGCACUCACAAUCAUGCAGGAAACAGAAGGCAGGCAUGCUGUGAAUGUUGCUGACAUGUUGUAAUACCAAGCCACAAAGCCACCCCUCUGUUUUCAGAGACUGCUCGAGCUCUGCAUCAAACCUACAUGUUUUGUGAAUCAUAUCUUCAUGAUAGGAAUGGAGCAGCAUGCAGCAGAAAUAAGUCGAACAGUUGUCUUGGUAAAAUAAAAUGUUUCUUUGCAAGUGCAGAAGACACCACACAUCAUUACCAAGUGUUUUUCAACAUGAUUGCUUGGAAUAUCCUCAGAAAAGAGACAGACUACAUACCUGAAAAACAACCCUUUGCAUUUCUGACCAUAAAUAUAAUCUGAGGACAGGCAGGAG
This is a long non-coding RNA of Prinia subflava (tawny-flanked prinia), 1767 nucleotides long. RefSeq lists it as uncharacterized. The record is from RefSeq and is a predicted model, not a curated record. The transcript is spliced from 3 exons. NCBI's taxonomy places the organism in Eukaryota, Metazoa, Chordata, Aves, Passeriformes, Cisticolidae.